UAUGNAGAGACUUGACCACCCAAGUACCGUGAAGGAUGACUGCCCUNUGGGUUGUAANCUNCUUUUAUCCGGGAAUAAAGUGAGGNCCGUGUGCCUUUUUGUAUGUNCCGUAUGAAUAAGGACCGNCUANCUCCGUGCCCACCACCCCCGGUAAUNCGGAGGANCCGAGCCGUUANCCGGAUUUAUUGGGUUUAAAGGGAGCCGUAGGCCGGANCCUUAAGUCCAGUUGUGAAAGUUUGCCGGCCCCANCCCGUAAAAUUGCCAGUUGAUNCUGGGUGUCCUUGAGUNCAGUAGAGGCCAGGCCGGAAUUCGUGGUGUACCGGUGAAAUGCUUAGAUAUCCNCGAAGAACNCCGAUUGCGAAGGCAGCCCUGCCUGGACCUGUANCUGACGCCUGAUGCCCCGAAAGUGUGGGUANCAAACAGGAUUAGAUNCCCUGGUAGUCCCAAGGGCCGAAUUC
RNAcentral lists this ribosomal RNA (458 nucleotides) under uncultured bacterium. RNAcentral describes it as "partial small subunit ribosomal RNA". It matches the Rfam family "Bacterial small subunit ribosomal RNA", at positions 372 to 807 of the family's 1533-position model. The record is from RNAcentral.